AACGCACAUUGCGCCCGCCAGUACUCUGGCGGGCAUGCCUGUCCGAGCGUCAUUUCAACCCCUCGAGCCCCCGGGCCCGGUGUUGGGGAACGACCAAAGCCCUCGGGCGGUCGUCCCUGAAAUUCAGUGGCGGUCACGUCGCGGACCCUCUGCGUAGUAGCAACACCUCGCAGUGGAGAGCGGCGCGCCCACGCCCCGAAACACUUCUUUCACAGGUUGACCUCGGAUCAGGUAGGAAUACCCGCUGAACUUAA
This 254-nucleotide unclassified non-coding RNA is filed under the name uncultured fungus. Its description in RNAcentral is "partial contains 5.8S ribosomal RNA, internal transcribed spacer 2, and large subunit ribosomal RNA". The stretch from base 1 to 52 matches the Rfam family "5.8S ribosomal RNA", at positions 103 to 154 of the family's 154-position model. Lineage: Eukaryota; Fungi. The record is from RNAcentral.